UUCAAGACUGUCAAAGCUUUUGCCUUUACUUUGGUAAUAUAGCUCUAUGAUUUUAAUUAAGGAUCAUAAAGCUAGAUUACCAAAGCAAAGAGCACUAGCA
This 100-nucleotide microRNA precursor is filed under the name Apis mellifera (honey bee). RNAcentral describes it as "microRNA ame-mir-79 precursor". Its record names the gene ame-mir-79. The stretch from base 20 to 95 matches the Rfam family "mir-9/mir-79 microRNA precursor family". From Rfam's summary of the family: The mature ~21nt miRNAs are processed from hairpin precursor sequences represented here. miR-9 is processed from the 5' arm of its precursor, and miR-79 from the 3' arm. The record is from miRBase by way of RNAcentral. Lineage: Eukaryota; Metazoa; Arthropoda; Insecta; Hymenoptera; Apidae.